RNAcentral lists this ribosomal RNA (468 nucleotides) under uncultured bacterium. RNAcentral describes it as "partial 16S ribosomal RNA". It matches the Rfam family "Bacterial small subunit ribosomal RNA", at positions 28 to 507 of the family's 1533-position model. The record is from RNAcentral.
GACGAACGCUGGCGGCGUGCUUAACACAUGCAAGUCGAACGGAGAGGCCCUGCUUUUGUGGGGUGCUCGAGUGGCGAACGGGUGAGUAACACGUGAGUAGCCUGCCCUUGACUUUGGGAUAACUUCAGGAAACUGGGGCUAAUACCGGAUAGGAGCUCCUGCUGCAUGGUGGGGGUUGGAAAGUUUCGGCGGUUGGGGAUGGACUCGCGGCUUAUCAGCUUGUUGGUGGGGUAGUGGCUUACCAAGGCUUUGACGGGUAGCCGGCCUGAGAGGGUGACCGGCCACAUUGGGACUGAGAUACGGCCCAGACUCCUACGGGAGGCAGCAGUGGGGAAUAUUGCACAAUGGGCGGAAGCCUGAUGCAGCAACGCCGCGUGCGGGAUGACGGCCUUCGGGUUGUAAACCGCUUUCGCCUGUGACGAAGCGUGAGUGACGGUAAUGGGUAAAGAAGCACCGGCUAACUACGUG